GAUGAAGAACGCAGCAAAAUGCGAUAAGUAAUGUGAAUUGCAGAAUUCAGUGAAUCAUCGAAUCUUUGAACGCACAUUGCGCCCGCCAGUAUUCUGGCGGGCAUGCCUGUUCGAGCGUCAUUUCAACCCUCAAGCCCUCGGGUUUGGUGUUGGGGAUCGGCGAGCCUUUCUGGCAAGCCGGCCCCGAAAUCUAGUGGCGGUCUCGCUGCAGCCUCCAUUGCGUAGUAGUAAAACCCUCGCAACUGGAACGCGGCGCGGCCAAGCCGUUAAACCCCCAACUUCUGAAUGUUGACCUCGGAUCAGGUAGGAAUACCCGCUGAACUUAAGAAUAUCAAUAAGCGGAGGA
RNAcentral lists this unclassified non-coding RNA (346 nucleotides) under soil metagenome. Its description in RNAcentral is "partial contains 5.8S ribosomal RNA, internal transcribed spacer 2, and large subunit ribosomal RNA". The stretch from base 1 to 120 matches the Rfam family "5.8S ribosomal RNA", at positions 35 to 154 of the family's 154-position model. The record is from RNAcentral.